UAAGAUCAAAAUGUAACUGAGCUGUCAUAAGCCCAAGGGACACCUAAGACCAACCAUAAGGCGAUCUUAACACCUAGUGAUCUAUUAAACCCCACGAAAGCUAUGACCCAAACUGGGAUUAGAUACCCCACUAUGCUUAGCCCUAAAUCAUAGUGCUUACCCUACUAAAGCAUUCGCCUGAGAACUACGAGCGCAAACGCUUAAAACUCUAAGGACUUGGCGGUGCCCCAAACCCACCUAGAGGAGCCUGUUCUAUAAUCGAUACUCCACGAUACACCCGACCUCUCCUAGCCAAGGCAGCCUACAUACCGCCGUCGCCAGCUCACCUCCCUUGAAAGUGCAAUAGUGAGCACAAUAGCUCAAGCUCGCUAAUAAGACAGGUCAAGGUAUAGCCCAUGGAGUGGAAGAAAUGGGCUACAUUUUCUAAUAUAGAAUACUUACGGAAGGGGGUGUGAAAUCACCCCCAGAAGGCGGAUUUAGCAGUAAAGCAGGACAAUAAAGCUUGCUUUAAGUCGGCCCUGGGGCACGUACAUACCGCCCGUCACCCUCC
Molecule: ribosomal RNA, 550 nt
Filed under: Ibidorhyncha struthersii
Lineage: Eukaryota; Metazoa; Chordata; Aves; Charadriiformes; Charadriidae
Description: partial 12S ribosomal RNA
Rfam family: Bacterial small subunit ribosomal RNA
Source: RNAcentral